RNAcentral lists this ribosomal RNA (282 nucleotides) under Triticum aestivum (bread wheat). RNAcentral's name for it is "partial small subunit ribosomal RNA". The record is from RNAcentral. Lineage: Eukaryota; Viridiplantae; Streptophyta; Magnoliopsida; Poales; Poaceae.
AUGCAAUGAUUGGGUUCGGCAUUUUUAGAAGAAUUUUUUAUGGAAGAAGAGCAAGUUUUUUCUUUGAUGUUCACCAAAACAACUCUUUUUUCUUUCUGUGGAUAACACACUGAGCGUAUUUGGUAUUUGGAUAUUAUAACUAGACAGAGAAAAAUACAUCACAUAGGCCACAUAUACGUUUGCUCCUUGUAUAUCGACAUAGUUGUAUCUUGGUGCAAGAUAAAUAUGACAGGCAUUGAUAAUUAUGCGAAGUUUUUCCUCAAAAAAUUUGUGCGCUAUUAG